GGUGAGUAACACGUGGGAACAUACCUUGAAGUGGGGGACAACAGUUGGAAACGACUGCUAAUACCGCAUAAUCCCUGAGGGGGAAAGAUUUAUCGCUUUAAGAUUGGCCCGCGGAAGAUUAGGUAGUUGGUGGGGUAAAGGCCUACCAAGCCGACGAUCUAUAGCUGGUCUGAGAGGACGAACAGCCACAUUGGAACUGAGACACGGUCCAGACUCCUACGGGAGGCAGCAGUGAGGAAUAUUGGGCAAUGGAGGAAACUCUGACCCAGCCAUGCCGCGUGAGUGAAGAAGGUUUUCGAAUUGUAAAGCUCUUUCGGAUGGGACGAUGAUGACGGUACCAUCUAAAGAAGCCCCGGCAAACUUCGUGCCAGCAGCCGCGGUAAUACGAAGGGGGCAAGCGUUGUUCGGAAUUACUGGGCGUAAAGGGUGUGUAGGCGGAUUUGUAAGAUAGUGGUGAAAUACCUGAGCUCAACUUAGGAAUUGCCAUUAUAACUAUAGAUCUGGAGUGACAGAGAGGAUAUUGGAAUACCCAGUGUAGAGGUGAAAUUCGUAGAUAUUGGGUAGAACACCAGUGGCGAAGGCGAGUAUCUGGCCGUCAACUGACGCUGAGGCACGAAAGCAUGGGGAUCAAACAGGAUUAGAUACCCUGGUAGUCCAUGCUGUAAACGAUGAAUGCUAGUUGUCGGCAAAAGCCGGUGACGCAGUUAACGCGAUA
Molecule: ribosomal RNA, 715 nt
Filed under: uncultured bacterium
Lineage: Bacteria
Description: bacterial SSU rRNA
Rfam family: Bacterial small subunit ribosomal RNA
Source: RNAcentral